AUUGAACGCUGGCGGAAUGCUUUACACAUGCAAGUCGAACGGUAGAGGGGGCAACCCCUCGAGAGUGGCGAACGGGUGAGUAAUAUAUCGGAACGUGCCCAGUCGUGGGGGAUAACGUAGCGAAAGUUACGCUAAUACCGCAUACGAUCUACGGAUGAAAGCGGGGGAUCGCAAGACCUCGCGCGAUUGGAGCGGCCGAUAUCAGAUUAGGUAGUUGGUGGGGUAAAGGCUCACCAAGCCAACGAUCUGUAGCUGGUCUGAGAGGACGACCAGCCACACUGGAACUGAGACACGGUCCAGACUCCUACGGGAGGCAGCAGUGGGGGAAUAUUGCACAAUGGACGAAAGUCUGAUGCAGCAACGCCGCGUGGAGGAUGACACAUUUCGGUGCGUAAACUCCUUUUAUAUAGGAAGAU
RNAcentral lists this ribosomal RNA (416 nucleotides) under uncultured bacterium. RNAcentral describes it as "bacterial SSU rRNA". It matches the Rfam family "Bacterial small subunit ribosomal RNA", at positions 30 to 449 of the family's 1533-position model. The record is from RNAcentral.